CAAUAGCGUAUAUUAAAGUUGUUGCAGUUAAAAAGCUCGUAGUUGGAUUUCUGGUCGGAAGCUCCUGUCCUCUGAUGAGCGUACAAGUGCGUCCUACCAUCCUUCUGUUAACCUUUAAGGCUUUCGCGGCUUUCUAGGGGCUCAGAUAUUUUACCUUGAGAAAAUUAGAGUGUUUCAGGCAGGCUAGCGCCGGAAUACAUUAGCAUGGAAUAAUGGAAUAGGACUUUUGCCUCUUCUGUUGGUCAUGAGGCUCGAGUAAUGAUUAAUAGGGAUAGUUGGGGGCAUUAGUACUUAACUGUCAGAGGUGAAAUUCUCGGAUUUGUUAAAGACUAACUUAUGCGAAAGCAUUUGCCAAGGAUGUCUUCAUUA
This 369-nucleotide ribosomal RNA is filed under the name uncultured eukaryote. RNAcentral's name for it is "partial 18S ribosomal RNA". It matches the Rfam family "Eukaryotic small subunit ribosomal RNA", at positions 592 to 975 of the family's 1831-position model. The record is from RNAcentral.